AUUGAACGCUGGCGGCAUGCCUUACACAUGCAAGUCGAACGGCAGCACGGGUGCUUGCACCUGGUGGCGAGUGGCGAACGGGUGAGUAAUACAUCGGAACAUGUCCUGUAGUGGGGGAUAGCCCGGCGAAAGCCGGAUUACUACCGCAUACGAUCUACGGAUGAAAGCGGGGGACCUUCGGGCCUCGCGCUAUAGGGUUGGCCGAUGGCUGAUUAGCUAGUUGGUGGGGUAAAGGCCUACCAAGGCGACGAUCAGUAGCUGGUCUGAGAGGACGACCAGCCACACUGGGACUGAGACACGGCCCAGACUCCUACGGGAGGCAGCAGUGGGGAAUUUUGGACAAUGGGCGAAAGCCUGAUCCAGCAAUGCCGCGUGUGUGAAGAAGGCCUUCGGGUUGUAAAGCACUUUUGUCCGGAAAGAAAUCCUUGGCCCUAAUACGGUCGGGGGAUGACGGUACCGGAAGAAUAAGCACCGGCUAACUACGUG
RNAcentral lists this ribosomal RNA (486 nucleotides) under uncultured bacterium. Its description in RNAcentral is "partial 16S ribosomal RNA". It matches the Rfam family "Bacterial small subunit ribosomal RNA", at positions 30 to 507 of the family's 1533-position model. The record is from RNAcentral.